AUUGAACGCUGGCGGCAUGCCUUACACAUGCCAGUCGAACGGCAGCACGGGUGCUUGCACCUGGUGGCGAGUGGCGAACGGGUGAGUAAUACAUCGGAACAUGUCCUGUAGUGGGGGAUAGCCCGGCGAAAGCCGGAUUAAUACCGCAUACGAUCCACGGAUGAAAGCGGGGGACCUUCGGGCCUCGCGCUAUAGGGUUGGCCGAUGGCUGAUUAGCUCGUUGGUGGGGUAAAGGCCUACCAAGGCGACGAUCAGUAGCUGGUCUGAGAGGACGACCAGCCACACGGGGACUGAGACACGGCCUAGACUACUACGGGAGGCAGCAGUGGGGAAUGUUGGACAAUGGGCGAAAGCCUGAUCCAGCAAUGCCGCGUGUGUGAAGAAGGCCUUCGGGUUGUAAAGCACGUUUGUGCGGAAAGAAACCCUUGGCUCUAAUACAGUCGGGGGAUGACGGUACCGGAAGAAGAAGCACCGGCUAACUACGUG
RNAcentral lists this ribosomal RNA (486 nucleotides) under uncultured bacterium. Its description in RNAcentral is "partial 16S ribosomal RNA". It matches the Rfam family "Bacterial small subunit ribosomal RNA", at positions 29 to 507 of the family's 1533-position model. The record is from RNAcentral.